Cavia porcellus (domestic guinea pig) is the source of this 64-nucleotide transfer RNA. It matches the Rfam family "tRNA". From Rfam's summary of the family: Transfer RNA (tRNA) molecules are approximately 80 nucleotides in length. Their secondary structure includes four short double-helical elements and three loops (D, anti-codon, and T loops). NCBI's taxonomy places the organism in Eukaryota, Metazoa, Chordata, Mammalia, Rodentia, Caviidae. The record is from Rfam.
GGGAAUUUAGCUUAGUGGCAUAAGUGCCUGCCUUGCAAGCAUGUGGUCGUGAGUUCAAUCCCCA